AUACGGGAGGCAGCAGUGGGGAAUUUUGGACAAUGGGCGAAAGCCUGAUCCAGCAAUGCCGCGUGCAGGAAGAAGGCCUUCGGGUUGUAAACUGCUUUUGUACGGAACGAAAAGGCCAGCCCUAAUACGGCAGGCCCAUGACGGUACCGUAAGAAUAAGCACCGGCUAACUACGUGCCAGCAGCCGCGGUAAUACGUAGGGUGCGAGCGUUAAUCGGAAUUACUGGGCGUAAAGCGUGCGCAGGCGGUGAUGUAAGACAGUUGUGAAAUCCCCGGGCUCAACCUGGGAAUUGCAUCUGUGACUGCAUCGCUAGAGUACGGUAGAGGGGGAUGGAAUUCCGCGUGUAGCAGUGAAAUGCGUAGAUAUGCGGAGGAACACCGAUGGCGAAGGCAAUCCCCUGGACCUGUACUGACGCUCAUGCACGAAAGCGUGGGGAGCAAACAGGAUUAGAUACCCUGGU
This 460-nucleotide ribosomal RNA is filed under the name uncultured bacterium. RNAcentral describes it as "bacterial SSU rRNA". It matches the Rfam family "Bacterial small subunit ribosomal RNA", at positions 339 to 791 of the family's 1533-position model. The record is from RNAcentral.